RNAcentral lists this long non-coding RNA (230 nucleotides) under Setaria italica (foxtail millet). Its description in RNAcentral is "long non-coding RNA (SITA_LNC005626)". The record is from RNAcentral. Lineage: Eukaryota; Viridiplantae; Streptophyta; Magnoliopsida; Poales; Poaceae.
UAGGAGGGCUGUUUGGGGCAGCUAUCCCUUGGGCUAGUUGGUGGUAGGCUACUCAUUUGUUUUGUGAGAGUCUUUGGUAGACGGAGAGAGGGAGAGAAGAGUGGAUCUUCGUGUUGAUCUUUUUGCCAUCCAAACUUUGUUUGUGCUUAGGUUUGGCUUGUAACCGGACAUGGUGAAGUAAUCUAAAGAUCUAUUUUGUAUCAUCUUGUUCCAUCCCAUUUGGAUUUGCA